RNAcentral lists this ribosomal RNA (450 nucleotides) under uncultured bacterium. RNAcentral describes it as "bacterial SSU rRNA". It matches the Rfam family "Bacterial small subunit ribosomal RNA", at positions 354 to 796 of the family's 1533-position model. The record is from RNAcentral.
GUAGGGAAUCUUCGGCAAUGGGGGCAACCCUGACCGAGCAACGCCGCGUGAGUGAAGAAGGUUUUCGGAUCGUAAAGCUCUGUUGUAAGUCAAGAACGAGUGUGAGAGUGGAAAGUUCACACUGUGACGGUAGCUUACCAGAAAGGGACGGCUAACUACGUGCCAGCAGCCGCGGUAAUACGUAGGUCCCGAGCGUUGUCCGGAUUUAUUGGGCGUAAAGCGAGCGCAGGCGGUUUGAUAAGUCUGAAGUUAAAGGCUGUGGCUCAACCAUAGUUCGCUUUGGAAACUGUCAAACUUGAGUGCAGAAGGGGAGAGUGGAAUUCCAUGUGUAGCGGUGAAAUGCGUAGAUAUAUGGAGGAACACCGGUGGCGAAAGCGGCUCUCUGGUCUGUAACUGACGCUGAGGCUCGAAAGCGUGGGGAGCGAACAGGAUUAGAAACCCUUGUAGUCC